RNAcentral lists this ribosomal RNA (492 nucleotides) under uncultured bacterium. RNAcentral describes it as "partial 16S ribosomal RNA". It matches the Rfam family "Bacterial small subunit ribosomal RNA", at positions 30 to 507 of the family's 1533-position model. The record is from RNAcentral.
AGUGAACGCUGGCGGUAGGCCUAACACAUGCAAGUCGAACGGCAGCACAGUAAGAGCUUGGUCUUCCGGGUGGCGAGUGGCGGACGGGUGAGGAAUAUAACGGGAUCUACUUUUUCGUGGGGGUUCACGAAGGGAAAGCUACGCCCAUAUCGCAUACGAUCUACGGGUGAAAGCAGGGGAUCUUCGGACCUUGCGGGGUUGAAUGAGCGGAUGUCGGAUUAGCUAGUUGGCGGGGUAAUGGCCCAGCAAGGCGCCGAUCCGUAGCUGGUCUGAGAGGCGGGUCGGCGACACUGGAGGUGAGACACGGUCCAGACUCCUGCGAGAGGCAGCAGUGUGGAAUGGUGGACAAUGGGCGGGAGCCUGAUACAGCCAUACCGCGUGUGUGGAGAAGGCCUUCGGGUUGUGAAGACCGUUUUUGGGUAGAGAAAAGCAGCAGGUUGUGACGCCGCUGGACUGACGGUACUGAAUGAAGAAGCACCGGCUAACUACGUG